This 21159-nucleotide long non-coding RNA is filed under the name Ananas comosus (pineapple). RNAcentral describes it as "long non-coding RNA (ACOM_LNC008101)". The record is from RNAcentral. Lineage: Eukaryota; Viridiplantae; Streptophyta; Magnoliopsida; Poales; Bromeliaceae.
AUCGAUGUAAGGCCCGAUCGAUGACUUUAUUUAAGUCUUCUAGUAGAAUACAUAACACUUGCAGCUACCAGCUAGCAUAGCUAGUUGGCAGGGCGCCAUGACGGAUUCCAGGUCACCUUCACUAGAACGUUACCGUACCGCCCAGUAAUAUUCUUCUGAGAUGCUCCGUCGAAGAGCGGAGGGAGCACUGCAACUCCAUUUGCGAUCUCACCGCCGGUAGGGGUUGUGUGGCGAUCGUACAGUUCCGCCCGAAUGCUGAGGGAGUAAUUGGUUGGAACUGCCACCGUCUUUUUCGUCAAUCCAAUAGGUUGCCCAGGCCUUACGUUUAUGUACUCCUCUCUCUUCUUUCGAAAGAGCAGAGUCUGCUCCCCAGAAGGAUAGUUACUAUAAGAAGCAGCAAUCUCUCCGUAAACUUCAGCAGGAUCUUUCCCACCCGCAUUUACGAGCUCAACAGAUAUAGUCGCCUCCACCGCAUCACUCAGCACCGCGUAGCAAGCUGUUGCCGAACCGUGCGCUCCUUUAACAUCACGAUAUAAAAUGCGGUCGAAGACGUUGUUGGCGGUGUCAAAAACAUUCCGCACGAUCGUCCCAUUACUAAUUACCUCAUCGUCCCGACUCGGAGUAGCCUUACUCCGGAGAGAAAGAUUCACAGUGAAGCUAUCGUAAGCCGAGAUAGCUCUACUAGGGCCGGUUAGUAAAAUCUUGCCCCCCGGAGAGAUGGUUUCGGGACUGCCCUUCUGUCGAUCGUACAUGUUCUGAGAACUCAGUCCGUCCACAACCGCGAUGGUGCCGUGGAGCUGGGCAGGGUCCCUGCCACCACCGAUGUUGUCGAUGCGCACCCAGAACACCUCCGCCAUCGGUCGUCCCUGCCGCAACGUCGACGUAUUGUUGUCGUUAGCUGCCGACAACAUGCGCAGGGUCCCAGCUGGCUUUCGAUAGUUGAAGAAUAGCAAGAUUCCGAGUGCAGCAGCCGCUUCCUCAGCUGUCGUUAUUUGCAUGGCAUUGGGUUGCGGGAGCAGAAAGAAACGGGUGGGAUCCGCGUCGGUGCGCAGUAACGCAUUAGAGAGAUUCCCCCAGCCGUGUUCCAGCGCUGUCAUCCAAGCAGGGGGUGGGGAACCGGGCUCAUGAUGUUUAGCCAGAUGGUCGGAGAUGCGACUGAACCUGAUCGACUCGCAUAUCAUUUGAAUCACAACAAUCAAUUGCUUGGCCCUCUCCUGGCGGUUGGUAGUGGAAGCGAGUUGGUUGACAGCAGUUCCGAGCUGCGGCUGGCCGAGGUUUAUGCGAUCCACCGUUUGUCCGGCAGCAUUUUCCAAGUCAUUGUAAUCGCCGUUGAAGCCCAGGAAGUUGGGUCCCGGACCUCUUCCCAACUCUAACCACUGAUCAGCAUUCCACAUUUUGUAGCCGUCCAAGUAAAGGUUACCUCGCCGAAUCCUCAGCGUGAUGCUCCGUGAUUGAGUUUGCAGUACCACAUGGAACCUCUCGAUGGGUUCAGUGCUCUGCUGAGGGGGAAGCACAGGGCGAUUGUGUGAAUAGCUGCCGGAUGCCAAUUUGUUGCGCAAGGAUCCGACGAAUCCCUUGUAAGCCGCCCAUUCACCUGUAACUUUGUCGUCGACCUUAAAAUUGAACUCCAUUGUGUUGUGUUGUGUUGUGUUGUGAUCUGUUCUUAAAGGAAACCUAAGCAAAGAGACAUUUGCUUCCAUAGUUUAUUAUUUAAAUGAGAAAAAUUGAGCUCCAAUGAACAAAAUAGAUGUUCUACCGUAUAACCAGCUCAUCCAGUUGCAUAAUAUAAUUAACUAAGUGCUAAUAUAUAAUAUAAUUAACUAAGUUCCAAUGACGCCCCGUAGGAAACUAUUUUUAUAUUACAGAAAAUCAAAACAAACAUACAAAUAUCUAUAUUAAUUGUAGCAAGGUUGAGAAUUUACAUAUCUUCAAACUUACAACAGUAAUGGCACCGGUGUAUUGUGAUUACUUUAGCACACCAAAUUAAAGUAGCAGCUGCAGAAGCAUAGUAGCACCCCCUCCUAACUAACAAGCUUGUUAUUUUUGGGAUUUUUUCUCAUAUGCUCCUCACUACUAUUCAAAAUUUUCAAAUUUAUCUAUCUAUUGUCAAAGUACCUUUGAAACGCUAAAAAUUCCACUAGUAAAUUUUAGAAUUUUAAAAAAUAAUCUUUAUUUUUUUAAAAAAAAAUAAAUACAGAUAUUUUGAUCCACCAUAGAUAUAUUAGAUAUUUUCAAAAUUUUAGAAAUUUUCUUUAUUUUGCAAGAAGCUAAUUGAACUAAAAGCUAUAGCUAAACUAGUAGGGAAGUGGGAGAAUGCAACAGACUUACCAAAACUACUGCUGUUGCUUCCAAUUCUUUCAACCUCUGUAGAUAGGCCUUGUUGACAGCAUAGCGGUAUUAUCUGUACCUAUAAACAUCAUCUGUCUUUUCUUUAUUUCCGUCUCCUUAGAGACCUUGAUGCCUCACCCAUGUAGCUUAAUUCAUCUUCUGAAUGAAUGAAGCGGGUAGCACGCUACUUUUUUCUCAAAAAAAAAAAUUCUUUCAACCUCUGCCUUACUCUUCACACCAUUCUACUCAUUUAUAGGCAGUGAGGGCGGCUCAGGAGCCUGGAGAGUUGGGUGCGCGCGGUGUCGGCGGGCAUGUAUUUCAUACAAAUUAAACUCUAUACUUAAGAAGAGAUCAGAUGUGCGUGAUUCAUAUAUGGCUGAGAAUCUUAGCUUCAUUUCAGUACGAAAGUUUUAAUACUGAUAAAAAAAUAACUUCCCGAAUAUCUUUGCACGUUACUAAAAUUGUAAUAUUAGUUAGGAAAAUACUUCACAUGCGUUGAUAUUUGUGCACAUGGCUGAAAUUUUAAUAUUGAUAAAAAGUACUUCAUAUGGGUAUCUUUGCUGAUGACUAAAAUUAUAAUAUGGAUAAAAAAAUUAAAAUAGCUUACCGUGAGUGUUUUUGCACAUGGUUAAAAUUUUAAUAUUGAUAAAAAAUAACUUUACAUGAAUUUCUCUGCACAUGGCUUCACGUGCAUGGGUUAUCCUCGAACCAGCUCCUCAUCUUCACCUCUCCAAUUCUCUCUGGCGAGAAAGUCUACUGUGUCGUAUUUGUACCACAUUAUUAAUAAUAAGUCAAUCAUAUCUCUCUUUUUUGAAAGAAUGUACAAUAAAAAUAUUUUUUUAUAAUUAUGGUAGGACAGAUAAAUUAAUCUGGUGCAUUUUAGAAUUUUUUUCUGCCCAUCAGCGUCUCUUCUGCGCCCUCCCCGCUCUCUCAGCUCGGUUGGAAAACACACCACACCACACCACACCACACCAUAGAGGCCUGAUGACGACGAACUCCAUCGUCUCGGUGAUCCGUAUGGUGCUAUCAAGAAAUGGGAUCAGGACGUACUCAGUUGAUCCAUGUAGCUGGAUCAUGGUUACUUGUUCUCCAAUAAAGCUUGUUAUUUUCUUUGCAAGUUUUUAUGCAUACUCUACAUAUGUUCUACUGGAGAUUUUAUCCUGGGUUAAUGGUAUGGAAAAAAAAAUAGUAAGGCAGAGAAGUAUUGAUUGAAAGUUACGUAUAUUCAAAUUUAUCUGGCUCACUCUCUCCGAGCGAAGAGAAUAUGACCAAACUUUGAAGGUCCGUAACUCCGUAAUUUUCUAAAUUAUAUUCAAAAUUUCUCCUUAGUUUUGAUAUAAGUAUUUUUUUAUCAAAAUUUAAAUAAAUUUAAAUAGUUUAAAAAAUUUUCUAUCAAAAUUUGAAUAAUUUUAGAUUUUCUAUACCGUUAAACCACAAACUCGCUACAGUAGUUCUUAAAAAUUAACAGUUUUGAAAUUAAUUUUGAAAUUAUUUAGUCAUAAAGUAAACUAUGUCAAAAGAAUAUUUAAAAUUUUAUUUUUAAAAAUUUCAAAUAUUUUAGAUCAGUUUCAAAUAUUUUAUUAGUUUUUUUUAGCUACUAGAAUUAUCCUAUAUUUUAAAUCAGUUUCAAAUUUAUCUGGCCUUCAUACUCAUAAGUUGUUUUCGAUAAUAAAGCUUCCGACGACGAUCCAUACCGUUAAAUAUUAUCUAGAGUAUUUAAAAUUUUUAGAAAUCAAAUUUUAUAAUUUAAAAUUUUUAUUCAAAAUUUAAAUCUAAAUUUGACCUUACAAUUCGAAUUUAAAAUUUGAAUAUAUAAUUCAAAUUUAAGGUCAAAAUCAAAUUUUAAUUUAAAACUAUAAAUUAAAAUUUACGAAAUUAUUUCAAAUUUCAAUUUUAAAUUUGGAAUUAUAAUUUAACUAAUGAAUUUAUAUUAUUUAUGUUUGAAUUCAAGUAAUUAUUAGUGGGGGAAAAAACCGUUUCUCAAUUACUCCGAAAUCAAAGUUCACUGGCCAUCAUGAAGGUGAGAGUCAUUUUGAGGAAUUCCAAUUUUUUCGGAAUAGGAAUUGCCAAUUCCUCCAGCUAAAUACUAACAAUGCGAAUAACUUAUUUCGAUUCUUGUUCCAAGUCUUAAAUAUUUCAAACCAAACAUGCCCUAAAGCGCUAAUAUAUAAUGCAAUUUACCAAGUGCAAAUAACGCCCCAUAGGGAACUAUUUUUAUAUUAUAGAAAUCAAAACAAACAUACAAAUAUUUAUAUUGCAGCAAACUUAAAAAUUUACAUACCUUCAAACAUGACAACACUAGUAGCACCGGUGUUCCAGUGAUUACUUCAGCACACCGAUGUAGUAGCAGCUGAAAAUUAAAAAUAGUAGCACACUCUCCAACUUACAAGCCUUUUAUUUUAUGAGUUUUUGCUUAUAUACUCCUGACUACUAUUCAAGGUUUUUCAAUUUUAUCUUUUUAUUUUUUAAAUUUUAAAAAUUUUGAGAACUAUAUUGAGUAUUAUUUUUUUAUUUUGUAAGUAAAGUUUUAAGUGUCUGUCGGCACGGACCAUAUCCAUCAUGCCGUACUGUGCCAACAAGAUAUCGGCACGAUACAGACCCCGUGCCGAUGGUACAGCUCAAAACCCUUUAUUUUUUAAAUUAGUAAGUAAUUUUUUCAAUAAAAUUCAAAAAAUAUGAAAAAAAGACAUAAUAAAUAGUUCGAAUGAAAUUAUCUAAUUAGACAGUCAAGUUAGACAUAUGUUUCAUGUACAUUUUUUUUUUAGAGAAAAAAUAGCACGUUAUCCGUUUCAUUCAUUAAGUGAUUUGAAUAUAGCAUACAAGAUGAAAAUAGUCUAAGGUCUCCUGAAAAAGGCGAGAAAAAAACAGGCCAGGAGGAUAAAAAAAGAGUAAGGAAAAAGAAAAAGAGAAAGGUGUUUCAUAUACAUUAAACUCAAACGGUUUAUGGUUGAGCCGUUAGCUUCACUUCCGUACAGAAGUUUUAAUGCUAAUGGAAAAUAACUUCACAUGAUACCGUUGCAUGAGGCUAAAAAAUUAAUAUUGAUAAAAACUGCUUCAUAUACUAAGUAUCUUUGUACAUGGCUAAAAUUUUAAUAUAGAUAAAAAAUAGUUUCACAUGAAUUUUUUUUUUUUUUUUGAGAAAUAGAUAGCACGCUAUUCAUUUUGUUUAUUUUAUUUAGAAAUAAACUUGCUGAAAAUAUGAAUCAACUAGGAUUCAAACUUGAGUCUCAAAUACCAAUUAUCAAAUCUUUUGCCACUUACUCUAGGAACAGUCGGUCACAUGCUAAAAUUUUAAUUUUGAUAAAAAAUAGCUUCACGUAGGUAUCUUGACACAUGACUAAAAUUUAAAUAUUAAUAAAAGAACAACUUUAUUAUAUGAAUAUCGAUCUUUGCAAAUGGCUCGACAUGGGUUGUCCUCGAACCAGCUCCUCAUCUUCACCUCUCCAUCUCGUCAGCGCAUGCACAAUUAAUUCCACUGUUCCUCUCUCUUUCUCUUACUAUGCCCAUCGCCGUCUCUUCCGCUCCCUCCCCGCUCUCUCAGCUCAAUGGAAGGGGUUGGAAACCAUACCACACCACACCAUACCAUGGAGACCUGAUGGCGACGAACCCAUCGUCGGUGAUCCUUACGGUGCUAUCAAGAAAUGGGACCACGACUGAUCAGUUGAUCCAUGUAGCUGGACUAUGGUUACUUGCUCUCCAAUAAAGUUGGUUGUGUUUUUUUGCAAGUUUUUAUGCAUACUAGAAUUUCUUGUACCCUUAACUAGAAUUUCUUAUCUUUAUUCAUCCAUGAUGGAUGUUGUUUUAGCCAUGUCAAACGCGUGUUGCUUCUCCAUUCAAUUUACUUUACGACUUUUCUUAUUUUGCUCAAAAAAACAAAAAGGUUUAGAAGAAAAAGAAGUGAAAGAAGUGGUUGUAACAUUAAUGGUGGACUGAGUUGAAUUUUAAAGAGAAAAAAAAUAAUCAUUAAAGAAAAAUUGAGACAUUUUUGCACAAUUAUAACAGUUGAAAUUCUUGAAGGAGCAUAUUUGUGAUGUCAAAAUUGACAUUUCAUUUAUCUGCUGUUAAAAACAGUUCUCUAAUAGUAACAAAUCAAAGAGACAAAUAUAAAUAUUACUGAACUUUUGUAGGAGUAACAUAAAAAAGUUAAACUUUAUAGGAAUAUAUUUGCAGCUCGAUAUGUUUACUGAAAGCUGCAUACAAUUAAACCUAAAUAAUAAUAUUAUAUUAAUAUAUUAUAUUUUAUUAUUGGUGUCUAUAUUACAUUCAUAUUCUUAUUUUUAAGAAGCUAUCAAGCCAUCGUAUCCGAGGCGCCUAGACUUACCUAUGAAAAAAUUAAAGUGUUAUUUUCUUUGGCCUACAUCUAGUUUUCUUCUCAUAAAGCAACAAACUGGAAAAUUCUAGCCAUAUCUUUAGUGCCCAUAAAUGGCUUUCACUUUAGGCAUGAAUAAUAUAUGAAUAGUCGCAUUAUUAUCGCGGUUCUUGUGAUCGUUUUCUCCUUCCUCUUUCCUUCCUUUCUCUUAUGUCGCUUUCUUAGCGAGAUUUUAACGCAGGUUAGGUUUGGAAAAUUCUAAUGUUAUCACGAGUAUUAGGGGCCCAGAUUCGGAAGAUGUGACUAAAUUAGUCUUAGUUUGAAUGCCGUGGCAAUGGAUGCACAGUAGUCUUUGCUUCAACGAGAAACUAAUCUUGUGGUUAGGGUUUAAUAUGCUUAUUCUAUUUUUCUCCUCCUUGGAUCAUCUCGAUCUUUCACUUAGUUUGAACAUCAAAAUAUAAAGCCAUUUAAUGUAUUAUUAAGCAUAAUCAACUUAUGAGUUAACUUAAAAAAUGUUUUAUUUUACUAUUAUGUGAUUUUCUCUUUACAUUAUUAUGAAGACCUGCUGUUAAUUAAAUAGGGUAUAAAAAUUCAAUAAGUAAAAAUGCUGUAAGUUAUAAAUCACAAGAAUUAUAUAUAUAUAUAUAUAUAUAUAUAUANUAUAUAUAUAUAUAUAUAUAUAUAUAUAUAUAUAUAUAUAUAUAUAUAUAUAUAUAUAUAUCAGAAUGGUAAAAAUGCUACUGUGAAUGGUAAAAUAUAUCAUUUAUUUACAAACCAGAGAAAGCAGUGAGAUUUUUACACAUAACAAGAGUCGCUAGCUUUCAUAGUCAUGCAGCAUAUAUAUAAUUAAUAUUUUUAACGGAACGAUCGAUGUAAGGUCCGAUAGAUGACUUUAUUUAAGCAUUCUAGUAGAAUUAAUACAUAACACUUGCAGCUACCAGCCAGCAUAGCUAGUUGGCAGGGCGCCAUGACGGAUUCCAGGCCACCUUCACUAGAACGUUACCAUACUGCCCAGUAAUAUUCAUCUGAGAUGCUCCGUCGAAGAGCGGAGGGAACACUGCAACUCCAUUCACAAUCUGACGGCCGGCAGAGGUUGUGUGGCGAUCGUACAGUUCCGCCCGAACACCGAGGGAGUGACUGGUCGGAACUGCCACCGUCUUUUUCGUCAAUCCAAUACGUUGCCCAGGCCUUACAUUUAUGUGCUCCUCUCUCUUCUUACGGAAGAGCAGAGUCUGCUGCCCAGAAGGAUAAUUGCUGUAAGAAGCAGCAAUCUCGCCGUAAACUUGAGCAGGAUCUUUCCCACCCGCGUUUACGAGCUCGACAGAUAUAGUCGCCUCCACCGCAUCACUCAGCACCGCGUAGCAAGCUGUCGCCGAACCGUGCGCUCCUUUGACAUCAGCAUACAAAAUCCUGUCGAAGACGUUGUUGGCGGUGUCGAAAACAUUCCAUAUGAUCGAACCGUUGCUUACUUCAUCAUCCUGACUCGGAGCAGCCUUAUUCUGGAGGGAAAGAUCCACAGCGAAGCUAUCGAAAGCCGAGAUAGCUCUGUUAGGGCCGGUCAGUAAAAUGUUGCCUCCCGGAGAGAUGGUUUCGGGACUGCCCUUUUGUCGAUCGUACAUGUUCUGAGAACCCAGUCCGUCCACAACCGCGAUGGUGCCGUGGAGCUGGGCAGGGUCCCUGCCACCACCGAUGUUGUCGAUGCGCACCCAGAACACCUCCGCCAUCGGUCGUCCCUGCCGCAACGUCGACGUAUUGUUGUCGUUAGCUGCCGACAACAUGCGCAGGGUCCCAGCUGGCUUUCGGUAGUUGAAGAAUAGCAAGAUUCCGAGUGCAGCAGCCGCAUCCUCAGCUGUCCUUAUUUGCAUGGCAUUGGGUUGCGGGAGCCGAAAGAAAUGGGUGGGAUCCGCGUCGGCGCGUAGUAAUGCAUCAGAAAGAUUCCCCCAGCCGUGUACCAGUGCUAUCAUCCAAGCAGGGGGUGGGGCACCCGGGUAAUAAUGUUUAGCAAGAUGGUCGGAGAUACGACUAAAUCUGAUCGACUCGCAGAUCAUUUGAAUCACAACAAUCAAUUGCUUGGCCCUCUCCUGGCGGUUGGUAGUGGAAGCGAGUUGGUUGACAGCAGUUCCGAGCUGCGGCUGGCCGAGGUUUAUGCGAUCCAUCGCUUGCCCGGCGGCAUUUUCCAAGUCAUUGUAAUCGCCGUUGAAGCCCAGGAAGUUGGGUCCCGGACCUCUUCCCAACUCUAACCACUGAUCAGCAUUCCACAUUUUGUAGCCGUCCAAGUAAAGGUUACCUCGCCGAAUCCUCAGCGUGAUGCUCCGUGAUUGAGUUUGCAGUUCCACAUGGAAUCUCUCGACUGGGUGAAUCUGCUGAGGGGGAAGCACAGGGCGAUUGUGUGAAUAGCUAGAUGCCAAUUUGUUGCGCAAGGAUUCAAUGAAUCCCUUGUAAGCCGCCCAUUCCCCGCUAACUUUGUCGUCCACCUUAAACUUGAACUCCAUUAUCUUGUGUUUUCAAAGAAAACCUAGGCAAAAAGACAUAUUUGCUUCCAUACUUUAUUAUUAUCGAAAUAAAAGAUCUUGCGCUCCAAAGAGCAAAAUAGACAUUCCACUGUAUAACCACGGACACAAUGAAAAGUGUUAAUUUUUUUUUUUCAAUUAUUCACCCAUAAAAAUGUACGGAGACCCCUCAACUAUGGGUAAUUUUGAAAUCACCCCUUCACCUCAAUCUUUCCUUUAUUUUAUUAGUUCUUUCUUAACUUUUAAUUUUUUAGACUUGAGUAAUUUUAAUCAAAUAACUUAGAUAUUUUACAAACUUAUUGGUAAUUAUAUCAAAAUUAAUAAUUUUUAACUAUUUUUAGCAACUAAAAUUUAAAAUAGUUAAACUAAUAGUUGAUAAAUCUAUUCGAUUUAACAAAAAAUUUAACUAAUUUUACUAUAAUAAUUCAAAUAAAAAAAUUAUAAAUUAGAAAGUUCUAAUAAAAAAUUGAAGUUGGCAUCUAUUUCAGAAUAGUUAUAGAUUAGGGAGCCUUCAGACAUGUUUACUGUAGGCUUCCAGAUGAAGACUAUUCCUUAGAUUUAAUGCACCAUGUAAUCUGUAGACCGCUCAAUUUCAUUCCUUUCUCUUCUAUUUUGACUUUCAAUCCCCUCACCACUUGUGAUUAUUUACACAAAAAAGUUUUAAAUAUUUAGCUAUUAAAUGAAAAUUUAAAUUUAAAAUAUUUAUCAUAAAAUAUUGUGUUUGGUGUACGACUUAAGAAUACACCGGGUGUGAACAUGUAUAAAUAUACAAUUUCUUCUCUCUCCUGGUCACAUUCUACUGAGAAGGUUCACCAACUUAGAAAAAACCUUAUGCUAGGUGCCUCUGAUGUUUACACCCCGGCCAUUUUUCAAUCCUUCAUUCUAUAUAAAAUUUCAAUCUAACGAAUACACCUGGUGUGGGCACUAAUUUUUACGGCUCAUGCUGUUGGCUUAAAUCAGCAGCAUUCUAUCAAGGAGGUUAUGUUGAGUCGAGUUAUAUUCGAAAUAACGUGAAGCUGGACGGGCCGAGUAAUGUUCGAAGUGGCGUGAGGCUGAUUGGACCGAGUCACAAGCGAAACCCGUGGGCACUGUAUUUGAAAAAUUUAGAUAAAUUAGUUGCGUAUUUCUAAUUGUUCGUGUUUUAGGGUUAAUGAUUAGCGCCAACGAUCCGACACAUGCAACCUUCUUUGAAAACAAAUCCAAUUUAAUCUUUCUUUUUUAUACCGGUUUACUCUCCGUUAGUAUUCCGGUAAAGCUCUUACUUAAAUACCCUUAAUUACUUUUCAAAAUUUUUAAAUUUAUUUUUCUAUUUCCAAAAUAUCCUUGUAAACUAAGUGCUAAUAUAUAAUAUAAUUAACUAAGUUCUAAUAACGCCCCAUAUGGAACUAUUUUUAUAUUAUAGAAAUCAAAACAAACAUACAAAUAUUUAUAUUGCAGCAAACUUGAAAAUUUACAUACCUUCAAACAUGACAACACUAGUAGCGCGGGUGUUCCAGUGAUUACUUCAACACACACCGAUGUAGCAGCAGCCGAAAAAUAGUAGCACACUCUCCAACUUACAGGCUUUUUAUUUUAUGAGUUUUUGCUUAUAUAUUUCGUACUAUUAUUCAAGAUUUUUUAAUUUUAUCUUUUUUUAUUUCCAAAAUAUUUUUGCAAACUCUAAAAUUUAUUAGUAAAUCCUAAAAUUUUGAAGAUAUUUAAAAAAAAUUGAAAAAUUAAUAAAAACGCUUUGAUCCGAUCCACCAGACAUACAUUAGAUAUUUUAAAAUUUUCAAAAAGUAUAUAUUGAGUAUUAUUCCUUUAUUUUGCAAGAAGCUAAUUGAACUUAAAACUAGAGCCAAACUACUUGGGAAGUGGGAGAACUAGAAAAGGCAGCGGAGGACUUACCAAAACUAGUGCUGUUGCAUGUUUCUAACUCUUCCGGCCUUCUGCCUUGCCGUUCACAUCCUCCCACUACUUAUUUGUAGGCGGUGGGGCAGGGGAGACUGGAGUUGGUCAGGUGCUGACGUAAGUUGGAUGAAGUCAAGGAAGCUUCGAGCUGCUUAUACUGUAGUUGAAAAAUGUGAAUUAACUAGGAUUCGAAUUUGGAUCUCGGAUACCAACCAUCAAGUCCUUUGCUACUUGCUCUAGGGACGGUCGGUGAGCUGCUUAUACUAUAGAAAUUAAGAAAAGUGUGGUACAGGUCUAGCUAACAAAAUCCUUCCGAUGAAAUUAUCUAAUUAGAAAGAUUAGCAUGCUAUUCAUUAUCUUUAUUUUAUUUAUAAAUAAAUUUAGUUGAAAAUAUGAAUCAAUUAGGAUUCGAAUUUGAGUCUCGGGUACCAACCACCAAGUCAUUUUGUCAUUUGCGCUAUGCACGGCCGGUGUGUUUCAUAUGUAUUAAUAUAAAAUCUAAUAUAUAUUAGAAAAGAAAUCAAAUGCGUUUAUGAUUGGGCCGUCAACUUCACUUCCGUACAAAUACUUUAAUAAUGCUAAUGAAAAGUAACUUCACAUGGAUAUCUUUAAACGGGCAAAAAUUUUAUGAACAUCAUUUCCAAACUAAAAAUUUGAGGACAACGCGGAUGGCCGCCGCGUUGCUGCGCGCGUCCAUCCUCGCACUCCCCUAUAAAGUAAAAGAAAAGCGUGGGCCUCAAUUUUUAAAAAGAGAGAGAAAGAAUUUGAUGAAGAGGAAGGGAGGGCGAGAAUGAGCGUGCGCCGCCCACGUGGCGCUCAUCCACAUCAUCUCCAAACUUUUAGUGAGAGAAGGAUAUCCAUACAAUUUUUACCCAUUGGUAUGAGGCUAAAAAUUUAAUAUUGAUAAAAAUUGCUUCACAUAAGUAUCUCCAUAGGUGGCUAAAAUUUUAAUAUAAAUAAAAAAUGGUCUCACAUGAAUAUUUUUUGCCAUGCUGAAAUUUUUAUCUUGAUUAAAAAAAUAGCUUCACAUAGGUAUCUUUGCACAUGACUAAAAUUUUAAUAUUGAUAAAAAAAAUAACUUUUUUAUAUGAAUACCUUUGCACGUUACUCCACAUGGAUUGUCCUCGAACCAGCUCCUCAUCUUCACCUCUCCCGCACCCGCUCCUUUCCCCUUCUCUCCCUCUAAUUUUUUGUGGGCGCGCACAACCCGCUUUUUUCUUUUUUCUUUUUUUUUUUUGGUUUAUGGUCCUAACUUUGAAGGGUAUGAUUAAGGACUCUCUCAAGGAUCCUUAUGGUGCUAUCAAGAAAUAGGAUGUUGAUCCAUCAAUAAAGUUGGUUGUUUUUUUUGCAAGUUUUUAUGCAUAAUCUAUAUAGAUGCGUUUGGUUUGGGUAUAAAUAAGAACUGUUUAUUUCAGUAAUAAAUACAAGUUCAGGUAUAAAUACCAAUUUUACGUUUGGGUGAAAAUUGGGUUGUUACUAGGAAUAAGAUAGAUAGUAUUUGAAUGAUUAGAUUGGAAAAAAAAAAAAAUAAGAAUUAUAAUUUUAAAUUAAAAUUAUUUUAUUUAAUUAAUUAAGGCCAAUUUGCAUAAAAAAUUCACUAGUUUUGAGCUUUUGCAAAAGUGGAUCACCUUUUUUGUUUUUGCAGUUACGGUCCGAUUUUUCAGCAAACUGACCAAAAUACCUUAUACCUUUUUUUCUCUCCUCUUUUUUUUCUCUCGUUCUUUUUUUUCUUUCUCUUCCCAGAGAGCGACGGAGGCAGAGGCGGAGGCGGAGGCGGCCCGCUUCGGUUUUGUCCGGCGCAUCCUUACCCUCGCCUGCGCACCCCCGCCUUCUUCGCCUCCGACGCCACCGAGACCGCGCUACGAUUUUUUUUUUCCCCUCUCCGACCCUCCUGCACCGCCUCCGACGAUGACGCCUAUCUCACUCUUUCUCGCCCUUCUCGUCCUUUCUCUCUCUCUCCUCCUUCGCCUCCUCCGCCGCCUCCGACGACGACUCCUCUCCGCUGACAUCGGCGCCGUGGAGGUCGCUGUGACACGGCAGCCUCGAAGCGAGGGGUCUUUAACGGUGUCGUCGCCGGCGCCGUGGUCGUUGGCGGAAAGGUGUGACAAAAAAAAAUUAUAGAAGAGGAAGAAGAAAAAAUAAAAACAAAAAAUUAUAUAAGAAGGAAGAAGAUGAUAAAAUUACACUGUUAAAAUAAGAUUACACUAUUUUAAAAUAAAUUUAUACUAUUUUAAUGAAAAUUGUACUAUUUGAUACAGAAAUUACACUCUUUUGGAAUGGAUUUUACACUCUUAAGGCUAACGUUGUACUAUUUAGAAAAAUUUUGCACUAUUUCUUUCCUUUUCUUUUUCUCUUUCUCUUUUUCUUCUUCUUCUUCCGCUGCUGCCUCCUGCCCGACCCGUGAAGGCGCGGUGAGGGCUAUUGCCGAGUUCGAGGAGGCUCCUGACAACCAAAAGGGACAUCCUCGAGCUCGGAGAUAGCCCCCACCGCGCCUUCCCGGGCCGGACGGGAGGCAGCAGCGGAAGAAGAAGAAUAAGAGAAAGAGAAAAUGAAAAGAAAAAGAAAGUGCAAAAUUCUCCUAAAUAGUGCAACGUUAGUUUUAAGAGUGUAAAAUUCAUUUCAAAAGAGUGUAAUUUUAUAUAUCAAAUAGUGCAAUUUUCAUUAAAACAGUGCAAAUUUAUUUUAAAACAGUGUAAUCUUAUUUUAACAGUGCAAUUUCAUCAUCUUUUUUUUUCUUAUAUAAUUUUUUGUCUUUAUUUUUUUUUUUCUUUCUCUUCUUUUUUUUUUCUGUCAUGCAUCUCAGCCAAUGGCCACGGCGCCGGCGACUACGCAGCUAAAGAGCCCCCGUUCCGAAGCUGCGGCGCCCAGCGACCUCCGCGGCGCCGAUGUCCGCAGAGAGGCGUCGUCGUCGGAGGUGGCGAAGGAGGAUGGAGAGGGAAAGGGCGAGAAGGGAGAGAGAGAAUGAGAUAGGCAUGGUCGGAGGCGGUAAAGGAAGGUCGGAGAGAGGAAAAAAAGGCGGGGGGGAUGAGCGGGCGAGGGUAAGGAUGCGCCGGACAAAACCGAAGCGGGCCGCCUCCUCCUCCGCCUCUGCCUUCGCCGCUCUCUGCGAAGAGAAAGAAAAAAAGAACAAGAGAAAAAAAAAAGAGGAGAGAGAAAAAAGUAUAAGGAUAUUUUGGUUAGCUUGCUGAAAAAUCGGACUGAAUCUGCAAAAGCGAAAAAAGUGGCCCACUUUUGCAAAAGCCCAAAACUAGUGGAUUUUUUAUGCAAAUUGGUCAAUAAUAAAUUAUAAAGAAUUAUAAAUAAUUAUAAAUUAUAAAUUAAUUAAUAAAAAUUAAUUAGAUAAUAAAUUAUAAUUAAAAAUACUAAUAAUUAGAAAUUAUAAAUUAAUUAAUAAUAAAUUAAUAAAUUAAUAAUUAAUAAUAAAUAAUUAUAAAUAAUAAAUUAUUAAUUAAUAAUAAAAUAAAUAAUAAAUUAUUAAUUAAUAAUAACUAAUAAAUUAUUAAUAAUUAUACAUAAUAAAUUAUUACUAAUUAUAAAUUAUCAAUUAAUUAAUUAACUAAUUAAUAAUAAAAUUGUUAAUUAAUUAAUUAUUAAUAAUUAUAAAUAAUUAAUUAUAAAUGAUUAUAAAUUACAAAUUAACUAACUGAUAUUAAAUUAAUUAAUUAAAUAAUUAUUAAUAUUAAUAAAUUAAAUAACUAUUAAUUAUAAUUAAUUAAUAGUAAAUUAAUUAAUUAAGAAUAAAUUAACAAUAAAUUAAUUAUUUAUAAAUUAAUAAAUUAAUUAACAAAUUAAUUAAUUAAUUAAUUUAUUAUUUAAGCAAUACAUAACGAUUUAAAUAUGUUAAUUAAAUUAAUUAAUUAUUUAAUAUCAUAAUUAAAAUUAUUUUUAGACUUUAAUUAACUUUGUUUUCACUUGAGAACAAACUUGUUCCAGAAAAAAAAAAAGUGGAACAGCAGUUCCAGCCUUAUACCGGCUUAUUUCAGAAACCUGAGAACUACUGUUCUCGGAUACCAAACACACCGUUUGGAAACAAAGGGGGGAACAAGGACUUAUUCCCCCUUGUUUCUGAACCAAACGCUAUCUAUAUGUUCUACUGGAGAUUUUAUCCUCGGUUAAUGGUAUAGAAUGGUAAGACAGAGAAGUAUUUUUUUUAGAAAACAAAAGUAAGGCAGAGAAGUAUGGAAAUGUGAAUUAAUUAUGAUUCAAAUUUGAGGUCUCGGAUACCAACUACCAAGCUAUUUGCCACUUGUGCUAAGGACGAUUAGUAAGACAGAGAAGUAUUGAUUGAAAGUUACGUACAUUCAAAUUUAUGUGGCUCACUCUCUUCUAGCGAAGAGAAUAUGACCAAGCUUGAAGGUCUAUAACUCUGUAAUUUUCUUACUUUUAUUCAAAAUUCUCCUUAGUUUUGAUAUAAGCAUUUUUACAAAAUUCGAUAAAUUUAAAUAGUUUAAAAAAUUUUUAUCAAAAGUUGAAUAAUUUUAUAUUUUCUAUACCGUUAAACCACAAACUCGCUAUAGUAGUUAUUAAAAAUUAACAAUUUUGAAAUUAUUUAGUCAUAAAGUAAACUAUAUCAAAAUAAUAUAAAGUUUUGUUUUUAAAAAUUUUAAAUAUUUUAGAUCAGUUUCAAAUAUUUUAUUAGUUUCUUUUAGCUACUAGAAUUAUCCUAUAUUUUAGGGUCAAAUGUUGGUGUAUCCUUCAUAUAUAACUAAUAUAUAUUUCUUUGAAAUUUAAGUCAACUUGUAUAUAUACGUAGCUCUCCACAUUUCUAAAACCUUACAAAAAUAUCCUUUCUCUUUAAUCAAAGUUGUUGAAGUUCCUUUAGCUUCCUCUCUUCUCUCUUCUCUCUUCUCUCUUUUUUGUUCUUUUUCUUUCUUUUUUUUCUUUUCUUCAUCUAGAAUUUUUUUUUUAUUUCCAAGCAGGGUGAUUAUUUUAUUUUAUCUUUUCCAUAGCUUUAUGGUUUAUAGAAUUAUUUUUUUAAUAGAAUAGAAGAUAAAAUUUCACAAAAUAUUCUCUUUUCAAUGCAUAAUAAUUUGAAAUCGGAUAGAAAAGAGUGAUGUAGUCAAUCAGUACUCGGAUGGGAAGCUAAAGAAAAUUGAACGAAAAUUAAUAAAAAUUUAAUUAAAAGAAUACUUUUCUAAGGUAUCAGAAUUUGGAUGAAUAUAUAAGUUGGCUUAAAUUUUGGAGUGAUAUAAAAGUUAUAUUUAAACUUUAGAAAAGUACACUAGCAUUUAAUUCUGUAUUUGAGAAAGUUUCUUUUAGCAUCUAUAAUUACCAUUCGAUUUUAUCAGUCUCCUAAAAAGUUGCAAUAAUCGAUCGGAAGCAUGUGAGUAUAUAUAGUAUUUUUCUCCUAUUGCAGAUAUAUUAUUAAUUUAUUUAAAUUAUUAGUUCCAAUAUUGACUCUAUUCAUAUCAGAUUGAUAGGAUUAUUAGGGGCAAUGCUAAGUACAUGAAGCUAUGUAAACGCCGUCCAAAUUGUCUAUGAGGUGUAGUUACCAUUUCUUAGUUUUUAGGGAAAACUUCAAAAACCCCCCCCUGUGGUUUCAUGCAUUCUCACUUUACUAUCCUGUGGUUUAAAACGUAUCAAUUUGCCCCCCUGUGGUUUCAUUUUUAUUUUUUCGGAAGCUUUUUCGUUAACAUUUCGUUAAAUUAUAUACAAAAAACUUCAGAUAACCAUCUAUAUUUAUCGAAUAUUCACUUUAGUAUCCUUUAAUUUUAACUUUGUCACUGAUUUAAAAAAAAAAUAAUAAUAAAAUUGAUAACAAAAAGAGAAAAACGAAACCACAUGGGGGCAAAUUGAUACGUUUUAAACCACAGGGUACUAAAGUGAGAAAGCACGAAACCACAGGGGGGGUUUUUGAAGUUUUCCCUAGUUUUUAAAACAUAAUCUCUAUGCGCAAAUGGAUGGUAUAAUGUUCGCAGCCCAUACAUCACAUUGGGGAAUCAGGCGAAGAAGACAAAUAAGCAACAGUGAUUCUUUUCCUCUUAGUUUUUUUAAAGGGACAAUUAUUUAUAUAUUUCUGAAAAGUUUCUGUUUUUUCGAUUUAUCCCUCUUAAAAGGCUAAUAUGGAAAAUACCCUUACUACGGUCCAACCUAUUUCUAAUAUACCCAUAGUGUUAAAAUAUGUUAAUUAAUUCUGUUAUUUCUGUAAAAUUACUAUUUUGUCCUUUCAAAUAUACCCUUUCACCAUCAUUGUCUUUUUUAUUUGCUCUUAAAGUCGUGACACAAAAAGUAUUUUGACUUUUAGUCUUUUCUAAUAUACCCCUCUACCGUCACCAACAUUUCUUAUUUGCCCUUAAACUAAGUGUAAAAUUGGCAUAUUAAUUUUUUUUAACUGUGCUAAAUAUUUAACUCACGUUUAACCUAAAUUAACUUAACAGGAGAUAACUGUAGGGAUAUUUUACAGUUGAGUAGACUUUUCUUCAAACGUAUGAGGGGUAUACAAAAGAAUAGAUGUAGACUUUUCUUCAAACGUAGCUCUCCACAUUUCUAAAUAUUUAGCACAGUUAAAAGCAACCAUAUUUAACUUAACCCAAAAGAAAAGAUGUAGACUUUUCUUCAACAUUUAAUCAGCCAGUCAGACUGCAGACCACGUGCAGCAAUUUCUUAAUCUGCCAAUCCCAAAAAUCUGACAUUUGGCCACUCUUUUUCUCAGCAAUUUUUAAAACAUUUUUUUUUAAUUUUAUUUUCAUUGGAAGCUAUACAAGUUAUUCAAACGACAUGAAAAUUUGAAACAAGAUGAAAAUUGUUUGUUCAGGGCUUUGCUGCAACUUAAGGGGUUCGCAAAUUUCUUCCCGACACAGUACUGCAGCAGCAUAUAGGAAAGAUGAAGAAACGUGAAAUUAGCUACUCAAAUCAAAUUGCCCCGGACACCUAAUGAACCAAUAGAAUAUACACUUUCAUGCAAUCACAACCAACGGGAAUCCGCGAUUAAAACUCCUCUGUAAAGCAAUCAACAAAGAUUGAUACAUACCGACCGUCCUUAGUACAAGCGGCAAAGGGCUUGGCGUUCGAGGUCCCAAGUUCGAAUUCCAGUUGAUUGAUAUUUUCAACUAAGCUUAUUUAUAAAAAAAUAAACGAAGUGAGUAAAAUGCUAUCUUUCUCUUAAAAAAAUAUGUGCCCACACAUCUGGGUUGGAGAACCAAUUCGCGCCAAGCUCACAAAUUGAUCAACCUCGAUAGCUCUGCCAACUUGGUUCUUUUUUUUUUUUUUUUUCAGUUUCUUUCACUAAUUCGAGGUGAACACAAGUAGACCUUAUUCAGGCUCGAAAUUAAUUCGAGCCAGCUUGAAUUCGGCUCGAAUUCCAUCAUGUUCGGCUCGUUUGCUCCCCUACUUGCGAUAUGCAUUAGAAUUCUUCUUUUAAUAGGAAAAAGAUAUGUUUUCUUUUUAAGCUAUUACUUCCGUAGAAUAUUGAAAAUUUGAGUACGCAGUACAUAUAUAUAUAACUGGGGAAAAUUGAAACCUCAACUAAUGAAAACAAAACGAAGACCAAGUAAUUGUGGAUUAACCUAGAUAUAAUUCUGCUCAUUCUUCUUCUUCUUCUUUAUCCGAUAAUCGCACUUCUUAUUUUAGAAUUGCUGAGGGGUUUAAAUUCUACCUAUUUCCAAAUAUAUAUCAAGAGGCCGAUUGAAAGAAGCUAUGGAGCGCGAGCCGUAACUAGACUCCAACUUGGAAAAUCGAACGGGUCUCCAAUAAAAAUCGGAUCCACCAAAUUAACAAAUCCAUAUACAAGGAGCUUCGCAACAUCAGCCAGGCUGAAAUUUUUACACACAUAAUUUUUGGACGGCAACAUCAACCGAAUUGAAGCCGAUAAUUCAUGGCACAUGAAUAAGAAGUCAAGGGACUAAAAUAGCAAAUAAGGUUUGAUGCGACUGAGUUUAUUUAUCAUUAUUAACCCAUGCAAUGCACGAGAUAUAACCUUUUUUUCUUUUUUUCUUUUUUCGAAAAAUAGAUAGCAAGCUACCUGCUUCAUUCAUUAAGUAAAAUAAACGAAACGUACAUGAUGGAGAGAGACAGCUAGAGCCUCCUGAAAGAGCCGAAAAAAUACAAGAUCGAUACAAGCUAAGAUAUAACCAUAUAUUACAUAUGAUAAAGUUCGCUUUUAUUGUCAUACAUCCAUACGCAUAUAUAAUAUUUUUAACAGAAUGAUACGAGUUUCGGUCGCGAUUACUUCACAACAUAAGCAUUCUAGUAGAAUAAUACUCACAGCUCGUUACCCCAUGACUUAUUCCAAGUAACCUCCACUCGAAUUUCACCAUACUUCCCAGCAAUAUUCUUCUCAGAUGUUCCGUGGAAGAGCGGAGGGAAGUCUGCAGUUCCAUUUGCAAUCUCAUCGUCGGGAGUGAUUGUAUCGUGAUCGUACAAUUCUGCCCUAACACUGAGGGAGUUUUUGGUUGGAACUGCUACUGUCUUCUUCGUCAGUACAAUGCAUUCCCCAGGGCUUACAUUUAUGUACUCCUCUUUCUUCUUACGAAAGAGCAGAGUCUUCUCCCCAGAAGGAUAAUCGCUAUAAGAAGCAGAAAUAUCUCCAUAAACAUCAGCAGGGUUUUCCCCAUCUCCAUUUAUGAGACGAACAGCAAUAGUCGCCUCCACCGCAUCACUUAACACCGUGUAGCAAACUCUUGCAGAACCGUUCUCUCCUUUAACAUCAGCAUAUAAAAUGCUGUCAAAGACAUUGGCGGUGUCGAAAACAUUCCAUGCGAUUUCCCCAUUACUUACUUCAUCAUCCCAACUCACAGCAUCCCUAUCCAAGAGAUGAAGUUUCACAGUGAAGCUAUCAUAAGCUGUGAUAGCUCUACUGGGGCCAGUUAGUAAAAUUUUGUUGCCCGGAUAGAUGGUUUCGUAACUAUCCCGUUGUCGAUCAUAGAUGAACUGACACCCCAGUCCAUCCGCAACCGUGAUUGUGCCGUAGAGCUCGCCGGGGUUCUCGCCGUCGAUGUUGUCGAUGCACACCCAGAACACCUCCACCAUCCGCCGUCCUUGUGGCAAACACAUAUUGUUGUCCUCAGCCGCCAGCAACGUGCGUGGGGGCCUAGGCUUUCCAAAGUUGAAGAAUAGCAAGAUUCCGAGUGCAGCAGCCGCUUCCUCAGCUAUCGUUAUUUGCAUGUCAUUGGGUUGCGGAAGCCGAAAGUAAUGAGUGGCAUCUGCGUCGGCGCGUAGUAAUGCUUCAGAAAGGGUCCCCCAGCCGUGUUCCAGCGCGGUCAUCCAAGUAGGGGGCGGGGAACCGGGGUUAUAUUGGGUAGCCAGAUGCUCGGAGAUACGACUAAAUCUGAUUGAUUCACAUAUCAUUUGAAUCACGACAAUCAAUUGCUUUGCCCUCUCCUGGCGAUCUUCAGUCCAAGCAAGUUGGUUUACAGCAGUUAUGAGCUGAGGCUGGCCGAGGUUUAUGCGAUCUAUCGAUUGUCUGGCAGCAUUUUGUAAGUCAUUGUAACUACCGCCGAAGCCCAGAAAGUUGGAUUCGGGAUGACCACUUCCAAACUGUAACCACUGAUCAGAAUUCUCCAUUUGGUAGCCGUCCAAGUAAAGGUUAUCUCGCCGAAUCCGAAGCUUAAUCUCAUGUUGUUCGGUGUUUUGUAUGGUUUGCAGUACCACCACACAGAACCUCCUGUUGGUAUCAUUAGGAUCAUCAAUUUCAUUAGGAUCAUGAAGCACAGGGCGACCGUGUGAAGACCUACUAGAUGCCAAUUCGUGGCGCAAGGAUUCAAUGAAUUUCUUGUAAGCCACCCAUUCAUGACCUGUACUAACUUCCACCUUAAAUGUGAACUCCAUUAUGUUCUGUUUUUGAGAAAACAUAAGCAAAAAAAAAAAAAAAAAAAAAAAAAACCUUGUUAGAGAAUACAUGGGUUGAAAAAGGACCUAGCAAUGAAUGAAUCACAAUGAUGGAAUUGAGCUUCUAUGUUUUUAAAAGUACAAGUUAUUAGUGCUUGUAGAUUUUUUAUCAUUGGACUAAAAUAUGUAUAGUUAAGAUGAUGUGAGUGAGAUAGUUUAAAAGAUCUAAAUUAUGUUUAAUGAUAUUGAUCGUUGAUUUGAAAGCUUCAUCAUUGAAAAUAAAUCAGUAGUAAUAAAGUCCAUUUAUUACUGAUAGCAUUUCAGCUCAACUCUCUCUUUAUAUAUUUAUAUAAGUUU